This 497-nucleotide ribosomal RNA is filed under the name uncultured bacterium. RNAcentral's name for it is "partial 16S ribosomal RNA". It matches the Rfam family "Bacterial small subunit ribosomal RNA", at positions 28 to 507 of the family's 1533-position model. The record is from RNAcentral.
GACGAACGCUGGCGGCGUGCCUAAUACAUGCAAGUAGAACGCUGAAGAGAGGAGCUUGCUCUUCUUGGAUGAGUUGCGAACGGGUGAGUAACGCGUAGGUAACCUGCCUUGUAGCGGGGGAUAACUAUUGGAAACGAUAGCUAAUACCGCAUAACAAUGGAUGACACAUGUCAUUUAUUUGAAAGGGGCAAUUGCUCCACUACAAGAUGGACCUGCGUUGUAUUAGCUAGUAGGUGAGGUAAUGGCUCACCUAGGCGACGAUACAUAGCCGACCUGACAGGGUGAGCGGCCAGACUGGGACUGAGACACGGCCCAGACGCCUACGGGAGGCAGCAGUAGGGAAUCUUCGGCAAUGGGGGCAACCCUGACCGAGCAACGCCGCGGGAGUGAAGAAGGUUUUCGGAUCGUAAAGCUCGGUUGUAAGUCAAGAACGGGUGUGAGAGUGGAAAGUUCACACUGUGACGGUAGCUUACCAGAAAGGGACGGCUAACUACGUG